RNAcentral lists this ribosomal RNA (274 nucleotides) under uncultured bacterium. RNAcentral's name for it is "partial 16S ribosomal RNA". It matches the Rfam family "Bacterial small subunit ribosomal RNA", at positions 523 to 796 of the family's 1533-position model. The record is from RNAcentral.
AUACGGAGGGUGCAAGCGUUACUCGGAAUCACUGGGCGUAAAGCGCGCGCAGGCGGUCUUUUAAGUUGGAUGUGAAAGCCUACGGCUCAACCGUAGAACUGCAUCCAAAACUAUUAGACUAGAGUGUGGGAGAGGAAGAUGGAAUUAGUUGUGUAGGGGUAAAAUCCGUAGAGAUAACUAGGAAUACCAAAAGCGAAGGCGAUCUUCUGGAACACUACUGACGCUGAGGCGCGAAAGCGUGGGGAGCAAACAGGAUUAGAUACCCUAGUAGUCC